CAAAAUUGCGAAUAUUACAAAAUCCAUCAUAAUUUGUUGUACUAGAACUUGUCAUGCGCGUAAGGAAGUUCGAAUUUACGUACAGUUGAACAGUGAAAAAGCUAAUGAAUUCAAAACAUCUAUAAGUUUCUUUUCAAGGUUUCUUCUUAUUCAUUGCAGGUCGCUGGACGAGUUAUGGACAAAAAUUAUGACAAGGUCGGCCCCGAUGUAGAAGUCCAGUCCAAGCUGUAUUCCGAUAUUUACAACCCAGAAUUCGACUGUCGAUUGGAGUUUCGAGAACCGAUCUUCAAUAUUACGUCUAUGCUUGUUGUUAAGAUUUAUUCUGUUGAUCGUGUCACCAAGAAACUCUCUUGUAUUGGUUUCUCAGUUUUGCCGAUAUUCCUAAUGCUUGG
Exaiptasia diaphana is the source of this 392-nucleotide long non-coding RNA. RefSeq lists it as uncharacterized. Lineage: Eukaryota; Metazoa; Cnidaria; Anthozoa; Actiniaria; Aiptasiidae. The transcript is spliced from 3 exons. The record is from RefSeq and is a predicted model, not a curated record.